RNAcentral lists this ribosomal RNA (714 nucleotides) under Vibrio alginolyticus. RNAcentral's name for it is "bacterial LSU rRNA". It matches the Rfam family "Bacterial large subunit ribosomal RNA", at positions 179 to 942 of the family's 2925-position model. Lineage: Bacteria; Pseudomonadati; Pseudomonadota; Gammaproteobacteria; Vibrionales; Vibrionaceae. The record is from RNAcentral.
GCGAACCGGGGGAACUGAAACAUCUAAGUACCCCGAGGAAAAGAAAUCAACCGAGAUUCCGAAAGUAGCGGCGAGCGAAAUUGGACUAGCCCUUAAGCUUUACACGCGUUAGACGAACAGCCUGGAAAGGCCGACGAUACAGGGUGAUAGUCCCGUAGUUGACGACGUGUGUUCAGUGAAAUCGAGUAGGGCGGGACACGUGAUAUCCUGUCUGAAUAUGGGGGGACCAUCCUCCAAGGCUAAAUACUACUGACUGACCGAUAGUGAACCAGUACCGUGAGGGAAAGGCGAAAAGAACCCCUGUGAGGGGAGUGAAAUAGAACCUGAAACCGUGUACGUACAAGCAGUAGGAGCAGGCUUUGUCCUGUGACUGCGUACCUUUUGUAUAAUGGGUCAGCGACUUAUAUUCAGUGGCAAGGUUAACCAUCUAGGGGAGCCGUAGGGAAACCGAGUCUUAACUGGGCGUUCAGUCUCUGGAUAUAGACCCGAAACCAGGUGAUCUAGCCAUGGGCAGGUUGAAGGUUGAGUAACAUCAACUGGAGGACCGAACCGACUAAUGUUGAAAAAUUAGCGGAUGACUUGUGGCUAGGGGUGAAAGGCCAAUCAAACCUGGAGAUAGCUGGUUCUCCCCGAAAGCUAUUUAGGUAGCGCCUCGGACGAAUACUACUGGGGGUAGAGCACUGUUAAGGCUAGGGGGUCAUCCCGACUUACCAA